This 253-nucleotide ribosomal RNA is filed under the name uncultured bacterium. RNAcentral describes it as "partial 16S ribosomal RNA". It matches the Rfam family "Bacterial small subunit ribosomal RNA", at positions 524 to 776 of the family's 1533-position model. The record is from RNAcentral.
UACGUAGGGUGCAAGCGUUGUCCGGAAUUAUUGGGCGUAAAGAGCGUGUAGGCGGCCAGGUAGGUCUGCUGUGAAAACUCGAGGCUCAACCUCGAGACGUCGGCGGAAACCAUCUGGCUAGAGUCCGGAAGAGGAGAGUGGAAUUCCUGGUGUAGCGGUGAAAUGCGCAGAUAUCAGGAGGAACACCGAUGGCGAAGGCAGGUCUCUGGGCCACUACUGACGCUGAGAAGCGAAAGCAUGGGGAGCGAACAGG